UCAUUAUUGAAAUAAUCCUGAUAGGUUGUUGCUGGUUCUCUCGGGAGCAUGUGCACACUUGAUCAUCUUUAUAUCUCCACCUGUGCACCUUUUGUAAAUCUGAAUAUCUUUCUGAAUGUCUCGCAUAUUCAGGUUUGAGGAUUGAUCUUUUUCUUUCCUUACAUUUUCAGGUUUAUGUUUUUCAUAUACCCCAAGUAUGUUAUAGAAUGUUAUAAACGGGCCCUUUGUGCCCAUAAAUUUAUACAACUUUCAGCAACGGAUCUCUUGGCUCUCGCAUCGAUGAAGAACGCAGCGAAAUGCGAUAAGUAAUGUGAAUUGCAGAAUUCAGUGAAUCAUCGAAUCUUUGAACGCACCUUGCGCUCCUUGGUAUUCCGAGGAGCAUGCCUGUUUGAGUGUCAUUAAUAUAUCAACCUCUUCAGCUUUUUGCAUGUUGAGUGUUGGAUGUGGGGGUAUUUUUUUGCUGGACUCUUGAAUCUGACGUCUGCUCCCCUAAAAUGCAUCAGCGAAACAAUUUGUUUACCGCUCAUUGGCGUGAUAACUAUCUACGCUAUUGACGGUGAAGCAUGUUUAGCUCCUAACAGUCCAUUAACUUGGACAAACCUCUUAUUAAUGUGAGCUCAAAUCAAGUAGGACUAGCCGCUGAACUU
This 647-nucleotide ribosomal RNA is filed under the name uncultured fungus. RNAcentral describes it as "eukaryotic LSU rRNA". The stretch from base 245 to 398 matches the Rfam family "5.8S ribosomal RNA". Lineage: Eukaryota; Fungi. The record is from RNAcentral.